RNAcentral lists this ribosomal RNA (303 nucleotides) under uncultured Chloroflexota bacterium. Its description in RNAcentral is "bacterial SSU rRNA". It matches the Rfam family "Bacterial small subunit ribosomal RNA", at positions 28 to 351 of the family's 1533-position model. The record is from RNAcentral. Lineage: Bacteria; Bacillati; Chloroflexota.
GACGAACGCUGGCGGCGUGCCUUACCCAUGCAAGUCGAACGGGUGGAGCAAUCCCCUAGUGGCAGACGGCUGAGUAACACGUGAGUACCUACCCGACGCAGGGGGAUAGUCGUUCGAAAGGACGGGUAAUACCGCGUAAGCUCUCGCAAGAGAGGAGAGCAGAGAUGCGGCGUUGGAGGGGCUCGCGGCCCAUCAGGUAGUAGGUGGGGUGAUGGCCUACCUAGCCGAUGACGGGUAGCUGGUCUGAGAGGAUGAUCAGCCAGACUGGGACUGAGAGACGGCCCAGACUCCUACGGGAGGCUG